RNAcentral lists this ribosomal RNA (591 nucleotides) under Dinarda maerkelii. RNAcentral describes it as "partial 16S ribosomal RNA". The stretch from base 344 to 502 matches the Rfam family "Bacterial large subunit ribosomal RNA", at positions 2473 to 2632 of the family's 2925-position model. Lineage: Eukaryota; Metazoa; Arthropoda; Insecta; Coleoptera; Staphylinidae. The record is from RNAcentral.
UUUAAUGGCCGCAGUAUUUUGACUGUGCAAAGGUAGCAUAAUCAUUAGUUUUUUAAUUAGAAACUGGAAUGAAGGGUUGAACGAAAAAAUAACUGUCUCAUAAUUAAAUUUUUAGAAUUUUAUUUUUAAGUUAAAAAGCUUAAAUAAUUUUAAAAGACGAGAAGACCCUAUAGAGUUUUAUAUACAAUUUUAUUAAAAUAUUAUUAAGAAUAAUUAAAAUUUUAUUUUUGAUUAUAUUUGAUUGGGGUGAUUAAAAAAUUUGAUUAACUUUUUAUAUUGGUUAAACAUUAAUUUAUGAAUUAUUGAUCCAUUAAUUAUGAUUAUAAGAUUAAAUUACCUUAGGGAUAACAGCGUAAUUUUUUUUAAGAGUUCUUAUCAAUAAAAAAGUUUGCGACCUCGAUGUUGGAUUAAAAUAUAAUUUUGGUGUAGAAGCUAAAAUUUUAGGUCUGUUCGACCUUUAAAAUUUUACAUGAUCUGAGUUUAAACCGGUGUAAGCCAGGUUGGUUUCUAUCUUUAAAUUAAUAAGAUAUUUUAGUACGAAAGGACCAAAUAUUUAAAAUUAUUUUUUUAUGUAAUGAAUAUUAUUAAUAA